RNA transcript from Pipistrellus kuhlii (Kuhl's pipistrelle), 1470 nucleotides. It is a transcript of the gene named trans-L-3-hydroxyproline dehydratase, with no coding region annotated. The transcript is spliced from 6 exons. NCBI's taxonomy places the organism in Eukaryota, Metazoa, Chordata, Mammalia, Chiroptera, Vespertilionidae. The record is from RefSeq and is a predicted model, not a curated record.
UCCGGGCUCCGAGGCCCCGCCCCCUAGGAGGCCGCGGGUCCUGGAGGGCCCCGGGUGUGCGGCGCGCGCCCCGCCGGGCGGUAGUCAGUCGUGUCCGCCAUGCAGACCCCCGAGAGCCGGCCGGCGCCGCCCCGGCUGCCCCCGCACGACCCGGGCACGCCGGCGCUGUCGGUGGUGGACAUGCACACGGGCGGCGAGCCCCUGCGCAUCGUGCUGGCGGGGUGUCCGGAGGUGGCGGGCCCCACGCUGCUGGCCAAGCGGCGCUACAUGCGCCAGCACCUGGACCACGUGCGGCGGCGGCUCGUGCACGAGCCCCGCGGGCACCGGGACAUGUACGCGGCCGUGCUGGUGCCGAGCGAGCUGCCGGGCGCGCACCUGGGCGUCCUGUUCCUGCACAACGAAGGCUACAGCUCCAUGUGCGGCCACGCCGUGCUGGCGCUCGGCCGCUUCGCGCUGGACUUCGGGCUGGUGGCCGCGCCCCCUGCCGGCGCCCGCGAGGCCCGCGUCCACAUCCACUGCCCGUGCGGGCUGGUGGCCGCCUUCGUGGAGUGCGAGGGCGGCCGCAGCCUCGGCCCGGUGCGCUUCCACAGCGUCCCGGCCUUCGUGCUGGCCACAGAUCUGCUGGUCGAUGUUCCUGGUCACGGGAAGGUGGUGGUGGACAUUGCAUAUGGUGGCGCAUUUUACGCAUUUGUUAGUGCUGAAAAGUUAGGCCUCGAUGUUUGUUCUGCAAAGACAAGGGACCUUGUGGAUGCAGCAAGUACAGUGACAGAAGCAGUGAAAGCUCAGUUUAAAAUUACACAUCCUGAAAGUGAAGACCUUGCCUUUCUGUACGGAACUAUAUUAACUGAUGGAAAAGACGCUUACAGUGAGGAGCCAACCACCAACCUUUGUGUGUUUGCAGAUGCGCAGGUGGACCGGAGUCCUACGGGCUCAGGGGUGACAGCCCGCAUUGCCUUACAGUAUCACAAAGGGCUUCUGGAACUGAACCAGACCAGAGCCUUUAAAAGCAGCGCCACUGGCUCCGUGUUCACCGGGAAGGCUGUGAGGCUUCCUUAUCCUGCCCUUCCGUUUACAAGCCCCCAGCAUUUUAUCCUUAGCGUCCUUCUCAUCUCAUCUGCUAUUUGAUGCCACUGGGCAAUUUCACCCACUUCUGAAGUUUCAACUCUCAGCCACCCACUGAUGACUUCUAAACCUUCCUCCCUCCCAUGCCUACCCUGGGCUUCUCUCCUGAGUCUAACAGGAAGCAAAGUGCGGGGAUUUUAAUGCAGUGAUAGUGGAAGUCUCUGGACGAGCCCAUUACACGGGUACAGCAAGCUUCACCAUAGAAGACGAUGACCCACUGAGGGAUGGGUUUCUUCUCAAGUGACUUCCAUGGCUUUUAAAGGCUUUCUUUUUAAGCAAUCAGUACCUGUCAGUAAUUUUCAUCUGAAAUAUUUGGAAAUCUAUAUCCAAAUUGUAUAAUACAUGUAA